This 373-nucleotide ribosomal RNA is filed under the name uncultured bacterium. RNAcentral describes it as "bacterial SSU rRNA". It matches the Rfam family "Bacterial small subunit ribosomal RNA", at positions 525 to 896 of the family's 1533-position model. The record is from RNAcentral.
ACAGGGGGGGCAAGCGUUGUUCGGAAUUACUGGGCGUAAAGGGCUCGUAGGUGGCCAACUAAGUCAGACGUGAAAUCCCUCAGCUUAACUGGGGAACUGCGUCUGAUACUGGAUGGCUUGAGUUUGGGAGAGGGAUGCGGAAUUCCAGGUGUAGCGGUGAAAUGCGUAGAUAUCUGGAGGAACACCGGUGGCGAAGGCGGCAUCCUGGACCAACACUGACACUGAGGAGCGAAAGCCAGGGGAGCAAACGGGAUUAGAUACCCCGGUAGUCCUGGCCCUAAACGAUGAAUGCUUGGUGUGGCGGGUAUCGAUCCCUGCCGUGCCGAAGCUAACGCAUUAAGCAUUCCGCCUGGGGAGUACGGUCGCAAGGCUG